UGUUGAAAAUAAAAUAAACUUGAUUUUGUUAUAAUUAUUUGGGCUUAAGAAAUUAUGAAAAAUAAAUAGCCAAAUUCCGGAACAUUCUAGGCAACUCUAGAUUCCGGAACGUUCUAGAGAACUCUAGUCCAUUUGAGCUUGGAAAUACUCUAGAAUUCUCCAUAGAAUUCUAGCACAUGUACCUAGCUAGAAAGUAAUACAACUCUCUAGACUCUCUAGAAUUCUAGCACAUGUACAUAGCUAGGAAAUGGUAGAACUCUCUAGUCACUCUAGAGUUUGGCAAGCCUCCCCUAUAAAUAUGGGAUGACAUUUGGCAUUUGUAUAACAUACAACACACAACAUAUCAAGCCAAAAGAAUCAAAAACAAGUU
Molecule: long non-coding RNA, 370 nt
Filed under: Nicotiana benthamiana
Lineage: Eukaryota; Viridiplantae; Streptophyta; Magnoliopsida; Solanales; Solanaceae
Description: long non-coding RNA (NBEN_LNC027224)
Source: RNAcentral